ACAUAAAAACCUGUCAGUGAAAGCUCAGAUUGGAUGAAAUCAUCAGCAGCUGAUCAUUGAAAACUCCUCAUAAAGAUAUUAUCAUAGAGUCAGAUUACAGUAGAGUGAGGUUAGAAUGUUUGAUGUCUGUGUUUUAUUCUUCAGUUAGAUUCCUGCUCUGCUGGUCUUUAUUCUCAGCCACUGAAACCAUCUGUUUCUGUCCUGACUCCUUCAUCCUGCUCUCUGAGUGGUUUGACCUGCUCCUCCCUCUCCCUCUCUGUCUCUCUGCAGGAACACUUGUAGUGAAUGUGGCACAGACCUUCUAUCAGGCAGAGGAGAACCACCACAUCACACUGGAAUGGACCUUCACACCCAAAACUCUCAGCUCCUCCAACAUUUAUAUCUUCUGUCAACUGAUAACUGAUCAGAAAGUCUCAGUCCUGUUUCAGCUCCAUGAGGGUGUUGAGGUCUCAGAGUCUCAGGAUGAACAGUUUUCAGGACGAGUCCAGUUUGACAAAGACGUCCUCAGAGAAGGACGACUCAGACUUGAUGUGUCCAGACUCAGGACUGAGGACUCAGGUCUGUACCUGUGUGAGGUCAACACAGAGUCCGGUUCAAGCUCUGACAAGUGUCGACUCAACGUCACUGUGAGAAAAGACCAAGACAACAGGACAAACACAACGAUCAUCGAGCCAGAGAAACCUGGAGCUGAGAAGAUGAAUGUUGGUGCCAUUGUUGGUGGUGUUCUCACUGUUGUUGCUCUUAUUCUUGUCCUCAUUAUUCUCAGAGUCCUGGUGAAACCUAGAAAUCUCUGGAUGAAGAAGAAGCAGGAAGCAGAGAAAACACCAAACAUCUCUGAGAUGGAAAAGCUGGAGACGACAUCAACAGAAGGAGAUGAAGAGCUGCAGAAAAUGAUUCUGGAAACUUCCUGAAAGAGAUCGAAGCCGUCAGCCCCGACUACGACAAGAUGAUCGAAGGUUAAACUCCCUUGGUUUUCAGAGGGAGGGGUUGCAGUGAUGAUGAUGAUGAUGAAGAGACAUUCACUGAGGUUAUCACAGGUUGUAGAUUCAUAUUGAAGAUAUUAAAACUAUGAAGGAACAUGUGGAAUUAUGUAGUAAACAAAAAAGUGUAAAACAACGUUACACAGUCUGUGGCUGGACCGUGUUUGGGACUGACGGCCGUGACAGUCGAUGCCAACUCGCCUGUAGUUUCCGCGUUAGCUGCGCGCGUUCUCGUUCUCGACAGCAGCGGAGACCGGAGCUGCUGGAGGACCCCGAGAACACCGAGGACUCAAACAGCAGUUAUGGAGUCACCUGCAGCAGGUGUGGGGUCUGUGGACGCGCGUAGAGAGAGUAUGGACUCGUACAGGCGGUAUGGAGUCCAGUGCUGGGGAGGCGUGGACGCGCACACAGGAGGCUUCGUAGUUCGUCCGCGGAGGAAGUUUAGCUGGAUCCUAAGACAGUCUGAACUGGUUUAACAGUCCCGUGUUAGACAGACAUACAAAGUUUCAUCCAAAAUGUAACAUCCAGUCAGUGUUUGGAGAUUUUAAAUUAAAGCCGCUGCUGGAGGAUCUCCUCUGUACAGAUGUCUGACAGUGGACGGUACGAAUGUUACGUCCCAGACCUGACUGCUUAUUGUACCAAGUGAAUUCCGCACCGAAUGAGGAAGUAGUGAAACUCUGCUGCUAACAGCGCUGUCAUUGGCGUGUGACGACAUCACGUUCUGUUGUCACUGCCGUCCGGAGAGAGAAAAUCAUGGAGGAAACUCUGUGUAUUUUCCUGCUUAUUUCUCAGCUCUCUGUCGCUGUCAGUGGAACACUUGUAGUGAAUGUGGCACAGACCUUCUAUCAGGCAGAGGAGAACCACCACAUCACACUGGAAUGGACCUUCACACCCAAAACUCUCAGCUCCUCCAACAUUUAUAUCCUCUGUGAACUGUUGACUGAUCAGAAAGUCUCAAAAGUCCUGUUUCAUCUCCAUGAGGGUGUUGAGGUCUCAGAGUCUCAGGAUGAACAGUUUUCAGGACGAGUCCAGUUUGACAAAGACGUCCUCAGAGAAGGACGACUCAGACUUGAUGUGUCCAGACUCAGGACUGAGGACUCAGGUCUGUACCUGUGUGAGGUCAACACAGAGUCCGGUUCAAGCUCUGACAAGUGUCGACUCAACGUCACUGUGAGAAAAGACCAAGACAACAGGACAAACACAACGAUCAUCGAACCAGAGAAACCUGGAGCUGAGAAGAUGGAUGUUGGUGCCAUUGUUGGUGGUGUCCUUGGUGCCCUCAUUGGUCUUGGUCUCAUUCUUAUCGGAGUCCUGGUGAAACUUGGAAUAAUCACCAUUUGUCAGAGGAGGGAGGGAGGAGGAGACCAGGGACGAGAGCUGGCAGACGUGGACUGAUGGUCGAUGGACGGACGGCUGCUGGAGAGAGAAGACGUUUAGAACCUGAGUGUUUAACAGCUGCUCUGGUUUCAGCAGCUUUACCAAAGAUUGUACUCAACAAAGGGACUUAAACCUCUCUCUACUGCAGGGAUGAAGAAGAAGCAGGAAGCAGAGAAAACACCAAACAUCUCUGAGAUGGAAAAGCUGGAGACGACAUCAACAGAAGGAGAUGAAGAGCUGCAGAAAACGCUUCAGGAAACUUCCUGCAACAUGUGUAGUUGGUGAACUGGCUGGGCUGAGGUAUCAAAACCAUUUUCAUAGUUCAUAGUUAAUAACCACAAUCACACGAUGCUGGUCAUCAACUCGUUCAGUCAACCCAGGAUUUCUUGGGUGCGUUCAUGUGAAGAGGCAGGGUUGUUAGUUAAAAGCAGCGCUGUCAGAACCAGGUGAAAUGUAAACAGUAUUAUCACAUCAGUUAUUAUAAGUUAUUAGGGCCCGAGCAACGAGUUGCGUGGGCCCAACGGGGCCAUGCAACGAGUUGCAAGGACCCUCUUGUUUUCGUUCGGUUUCAGUAUUUUUUUUUUUCUUCUUCUUCCGGUGCCUCUUUAAUCGCCUUUUUGAGGGCCUUAACGUGCACCAAAACUCAUGAAAAUUUGCAGACGCGUCAGGCAUGGCGAAAAAUUUAAUAAUUUAGGGGUCUUGAGCAUGGGCGUGGCAAAAUGGCCUCUGUAGCGCCACCUAGAUUUUUUAACUGAACAGCCCCUCAAGCCCGUUGCACCUAAAAAUCUGAAAAUGUGCACACAUAUGUAACAUCUCAUGAUGCACCAAAAAGUCUCUUGGAGCCAUAUUCUAAACCCAACAGAAAGUUGUUGUUUUUUUUUUUUUUUUUGACCGGAAGGUGAAAAAAUUGUGUCUUUUUUGCCAUUUCCAGGGGUCACGGGAACUCUAUCUUGUCCUAAACGCGUUAUCCGAUUGUCUUCAAAAUUUGAUAAUUUGUUAUUAAGACAUAGACGAAGUUAAAUUGCAAAAGUUUCGGACUUUUCAUUGAAGGGCGUGGAAGUUAUGGCCCCUCAAAGUUCGAUCACUCGCCACAAAACAGGAAGUUGCUUUAAAUUUGCUUUAUUUCGGCCAUACUUUGUCCAAACUGCAUCAAACUUUACAGGAUUGUUAAUGGUACGUAUCUGCACACAUCCAUAUGUCAAUAUUCAUACAAUUGUUGUAGCGCCACCUAUUUAUAGCAGGAAAUGACAUAUUUUAUAGUGUGAUGUCCAGUUUCUAGAAGGGUGACCAGAUUCACUUCAAAUGUUGUCAGGACAGACUUAAGGACUUCCGGAAGACGGGCUCUGAAAAUUGUGAGUUUUGGUCGAAGCGUGUGCCUGUUCUGGCCUGUUAAAGUUCGGAAACCCAAUUUCGUCUCAGAAAGCUCAGAUUUUGGGGUAACUUCCUGUUGCAACUCUCUACUUUAUCCUAUAGAUGGAGCCAUUGUAUUACUCUUUGAUGGGUUUUUGGAAGGGGGGUCUCUGUGUGUGUGUGUGUGUGUGUGUGUGUGUGUGUGUGUGUGUGUGUGUGUCUGAGGGGGGAGGGGAAGAGGAGUUGAUUGAGUCUGUGAGAAGCUGCCACAGGGAGGUUACAGCGUUGACCCCGCGGUUGCCGGGGUCCCGCGGUCGCCGCUCCCCCGACAGGCGGCGGGUGCGAGGGCCCGUUCAACGCUGCUCGCAGCUUUAAUUAUGUUUUGUUUUUAUACUUGAAUGUAUUUUAUUUCAUGUGCUGCACUUUAUACCUGUUCUUUAAACUCUAAUGAAAUGAGCUCUUAUUCUAUUAAAUGCUUCAGUGACUUGUA
Molecule: RNA transcript, 4197 nt
Organism: Lates calcarifer (barramundi perch)
Lineage: Eukaryota; Metazoa; Chordata; Actinopteri; Centropomidae
Gene name: butyrophilin-like protein 8
Exons: 11
Source: RefSeq, a predicted model, not a curated record